ACCGACAACAAUGAAAUUUAUAGUAAAAGGACGUAAUCCGUCGACUUUAGAA
Molecule: transfer RNA, 52 nt
Filed under: Calliandra carbonaria
Lineage: Eukaryota; Viridiplantae; Streptophyta; Magnoliopsida; Fabales; Fabaceae
Description: partial tRNA-Leu
Source: RNAcentral